UCCCCGGUGGCUCAGAUGGUAAAGACUCUGCCUGCAAAGCAGGAGACCCAGGUUCAGUCCCUGGGUCAGGGAA
Bos taurus (domestic cattle) is the source of this 73-nucleotide non-coding RNA. Lineage: Eukaryota; Metazoa; Chordata; Mammalia; Artiodactyla; Bovidae. The record is from Rfam.